UCCGCCGUGGUGUAAUUGGCAGCACCUCAGAUUUUGGUUCUGAUAGUUCAGGUUCGAGUCCUGGCGGCGGAGC
This 73-nucleotide transfer RNA is filed under the name Amycolatopsis deserti. Its description in RNAcentral is "tRNA-Gln". It matches the Rfam family "tRNA". Rfam says of the family: Transfer RNA (tRNA) molecules are approximately 80 nucleotides in length. Their secondary structure includes four short double-helical elements and three loops (D, anti-codon, and T loops). The record is from RNAcentral. Lineage: Bacteria; Bacillati; Actinomycetota; Actinomycetes; Pseudonocardiales; Pseudonocardiaceae. RNAcentral also lists the same sequence under 2 other names.